UCAAAACAACAUUGAAAAACAACAUAACUGACAGGUUGUCUAUCCAUUUAUCAGUUCAUCCAACUAUCCAUCCAUCCAUUCAUCAUCUAACAAGCCAUCAAUCCAUCAAAUAUCCAUCGAUCAAUCUAUUUAUCAAUCCAUCUAUCAAUCUGUUUGUCGCUUCAUCCACCCAUCCGUCCAUCCAUUAUUUAUCCAUCCAACCAAAUAUCCAUCCACACAUCCGUCCAUCCAUUAUUUAUCCAUCCAACCAACUAUCCAUCCACACAUCCAUCCAUCCAUCCAUCCAUCCAUCUAUCCAUCUAUCAAUCCAUCCAUCCAUAAUUUAUCCAACCACCCAUCCAUCCAUCCAUCCAUCAUCCAUCCAUCCAUUAUUUAUCCAACCACCCAACUAUCCAUCCAUCCAUCCAUUAUUUAUCCAUCUAUCAAUCCAUCCAUCCAUCCAUCCAUCCAUCAAAUAUCCACCCAUCCAAUCAUCUAUCUAUCUGCCUGUCAGUUCCUUCAUCCAUCCAUCCAUCCAUCCAUCAAUCUUUUUUCCAUCCAUCCAUCUACCUAUCUGUCUGUCAGUUCAUCCAUCCAUCCAUCCAUCCAUCCUAAUUCAUGGAAUCAAAAAUCAGAAUAAAUCAAAAGUUCCUCAUUGGAGCUUUUAGACAAAAUUACACAUGAUUUAUAAAUCUCUUUUCAAAACACCUUUACAGUCUUGAACGCUGCACUUUAAAAUGAAGAAAUUGAGUUAUGGAUGUUCAUGUAGCCUAUUUAGAAAGUGUAAUCAGAUUGAUGACCUGUAACCGUGGUUACAUAAAGUCCCUGUUAUCACAGAGUAAAGGGAGUCUGUUCUAGAGCUGACAGAUGAAUGUGAUCCCUCCACCGUGAUAAAGUGAGCUCCAUUCAGCUGUGAGAGUGACUUCAGAGUUCACUCCAAAGCUCUGUGGAAGUGGGAGGGACUGAAAGGAGACGGGGCCAGCUACAGGAAUAAGUCUGGGCUGCCUUACAAAGCUAACAUCGCCCCCGUCUGGGCAUUCAGAGAAGGACAAGAACAUGGAGCUUCAUAUUUCAUAUUAAAAAAAACACCUUCUUUUAUUAGAAUCAGUCCUGAACAAAGACUCAAAUUAAUCCAAUUUAAGUUCUGCUACAGAGGGACAGUCCUGCAACACUUUUCUUUUUAGUCUCCAUCCACUGGAGAGCUGCCUGUUUUAGAUCGCAUUACUCAGAUGACACUUAAAUGAAUACAACAACAUAACUCUCUCUCAAUGCAGAAACUGCUGACAUCUAUAAUUUAACAGAGAUUGGAUGUUUCCCUCCUUCACUGGCUCUCCCUGCACCUUCACACCUGCACUGAAUCACUGCAAUCACCAGCAGCUCUGAAACCCCCCUGAGAUGCCUCUCCGGUGCCGAUGAUGAAACUCUACUCCUUUCAGACAUUUGUGACAGCAGCAGCAGCAGCAGCAGCAGCUGUGGUGUGCUUGAUAAUGACAUUCAGUCUGUUUAAGAAGUGUGGUGAAAUCAUGUCCGAGAAGUGUGAUGUUCCUAUCCUCCGUCUUUGACAGCAGAGACAUUUCAUUGAACCAGUUAAACUCUUUUGGAAGAAAACCGACAACUGUAUGUUUUAGAUGAGAUCUGCAUCGGGUUUGUUUGCCCUGAAGUAAAAUAUGCUGGUGUGCCUGACUGUGCAGCUCUGGGGGUCCACCACCUGAAUAAACAGUGUCAGUGUGGAGGAGAAAGUGAUGCAGAGACAUGAGGCCUCUCUGUUCCCUGCAAAAGGAGAGAAAAGCAUCAGAAAGUAACUUUUAAUCUCUUAUAUUUGAUAGACGCACACAUGUAUUCCUAAAUGCUGACCUUAUCUUUGCUGAUAUCUCUCUCGGCAAAGACAGUUCAGGUGAGUCAUUACCUGCUUUUUAAUAUAUCUCUCUGUUUUCUCUUGUUUACUCAGUGAGCUGAUUUUUCUCGUCCUUUGGUCAACUGUAUAAUUCUUUCCUCAUGCUGCUGUUUCGAACUUUGCAGGUGACUAAGAGGAAGACGCCACAGAGGAAAAAAUUGGAUCCUGACAGCAGAAAUGGAUAAGAACUUUGGCUGCAUGCACAAAUUUGCAUAAUAUUAUACAUUCAAUUUACAAUAAGGAGAAUAACUGGUAAUAUUUUAGUGAUGGAAAAACAGCUUUUUGGAUUUAUUGUGAAUUCAGGCGACAUAUUUCCAUUACAGGUUAUUUGUUAAACAUGAAGAAUAGCAGAUAGAUAUAAUUUACAGAUUUAAAUUGAAUUUAAUUAGCAGACGAACACUCCUGUAAAUGUGUUUACUAGCUUCUAACUGAUACCUCUGAACAAUGUUAUUUCAAAUGUCAUUAUUUUCUAGAAAUGUGUCAGAUUUAGGCCUGAAACAAGAGAUAAUAUGUUUAAAGGGAUAUUCUGGCGUAAAAGUAAUUUAGGGUCAAACACACCUUAACACCGAGUUAGACCCCCCCUCCAGAGAUGAAUGUUGCCGACCGCUUGCUUCUCUAGUUAUACCAACUUUAGUAACGACCGCAGGAUAGAAAUACAGAGAGCCACGCCCUCAAACAAAACGCCACUCUAUCAUUUCUUCAUGGAAAUACAAUCAGACCGAGACGCUAAGGCAGAAGAACUACCGUGUCUGCAGUGAAAAUGAUUAAUAUGAUGAUUAUUACUUCAAGGAAAUGAUAAAGAAAUGAUCAUAAAUAUUCUUCCUUGAGCUGCGUCACCCCGCCGUAGUCCAUAAUGGACUGGCCUGAGGUCUCGCUACAAAGAAGCAGCUGCUGGAAGAGAGUAGGUGAGUUGUGUUUAGUCUCUUUGCUAAAGAAAUGAGUCAAAGUUAAAAAGAUGUUUGGUGUCUAGUACUAUGGCUGGGACCCUAUAUGUCCUGUUGAUGAAGUUAGAAGGUUCAAAGGUUCAAAGGUUCAAAGGUAAAUUUUGUUUGCAGGCAGGAACCCAGCCGUCCAGAUAAGACACACAUAAAAACAACAAUACAACAGUCAAGUACAAGAAAAAAAAUGCCAAUCGUUAAGAGCCAUAAAAUCACAUGUGUUAGGUGCUGUUCUGAGCAUUAUUUGUGGCUAUAGAGUGGCAUUUUGGUUGAGGUUUGUCACUAAAGUUGGUAUAACUAGAGAAGUAUGCGGUCGGCAUCAUUCAUCUAACUUAAAUUUACGCUGGAAUAUCCCUUUAGUUUGGUGAAGAAGGUGUACUUGAAUGCGUAGUUGACUUUACGUUGUUAUAGCAGGAUAGGAAACACUUUGUUGUCUAAUUUUGGCCUUCAAGAGGCAAAAUUUUGCAUAAUUUGUCCAUCGGAGGCCCUAAAAUAACACAACAUAAAGUGUAGGCCUUGAUCAGCCACUGCACAGCCUUGAAAAUCACAGUGUAUAAAUGAUAAUAAUUUAAAAAAACAGAUCUAGUUUGUCUUUGUUUAAAGGGGGCACCGAGUCCUUUAUGGUGGAUACAUACAGGUUUUCUUUAUUAUGUACUGUACAACAUGGCCCCUACAUUGACCUGUUAUAGGGGACGCUUUCAAACUGAACAGGGAAAACUCGAGAAGUCUCCUUUUCCUUCAUCCCUGUCUCCUUCUGUAAUACUAUUGGAUGAAAACGCUCUAAGUCCCGCCUUCUGACUCCUUUCCACCAAUAGGGAACGUGAAGGAAUGAGCUCGAAACAAGGAGGAAUAGGAAAACAGUUGGAAUUGGGCCUGAGGCUUCGGUACGUUUAUUAGCUCAGUUAAGCUAAAACUGUUUGACCGGAUUGCUUUUUCAAAAUAAGUCUAUUGUUAGAAUCGCGUUAGCGGAACAUAUAAGAUUUCCUUUUAUUUUAUUUGUGUUAGAGAUAAACCUAACAUAAGACUCAUAUUAGGCUAAAAUAUCCAUAAAAAGUGUAGUUUUAGAUGUCUCUCGUGGGUUAUCUCCAGCGUUCA
Molecule: long non-coding RNA, 3906 nt
Filed under: Xyrichtys novacula (pearly razorfish)
Lineage: Eukaryota; Metazoa; Chordata; Actinopteri; Labriformes; Labridae
Source: RNAcentral